UUAAGCAAGCAGUAGUUGCUGACUUGCAAUCAUCCUUCCCAAGGGAUUCACACUACUGAAGCCUUUGCAGCCUCGAAAGAGGUCUUCCUUGCGACUCUAAAUCAAGGAUUCAUGCAAGUCAGAAGCAAUCGCUUCUGGCAACACAAUCGAAUUGACGGGGACACCCUAAAGCCUGACAUCACUACCCAUCGUGGGAAACUACGACGGUAUCUCAUGCGAAAGACAUGGGGGAUAGUAACAGAAUGCAGGAUAUCUCUGACUCUGUGGGGAUCAGUAAUCAUGGGCAAUCCGCAGCGAAGGUUCUAAGUGCUUUUGGGCAUAUGAACAACGUUCACAGACUAAGUGGUUGUGGGUGGGUGAAAGUGUCAUCACUUUUCCCGCUUAAGAUAUAGUCGGGCUUCAAAGGAGACUUUGAAGAUUGAAUUACCGUUCCGUAGGUGAACCUGCGGAAGGAUCAUUA
This 460-nucleotide ribosomal RNA is filed under the name Dibaeis sorediata. Its description in RNAcentral is "partial 18S ribosomal RNA". The stretch from base 87 to 416 matches the Rfam family "Group I catalytic intron". Rfam says of the family: Group I catalytic introns are large self-splicing ribozymes. They catalyse their own excision from mRNA, tRNA and rRNA precursors in a wide range of organisms. Lineage: Eukaryota; Fungi; Ascomycota; Lecanoromycetes; Pertusariales; Icmadophilaceae. The record is from RNAcentral.